AUGCGAUGAGUCGAAUAAUUCUACUUUUGUAGAAUUUCGAAGCUAAGGAGUGCUGGGAAAUUGAGUUUUCCGCGCAGGAAGCGUGAGCAUUUGUCAAAAUGUGUGAACCUUUUUGACACACUUUUAGUGCCUUAAAAAGCCCUUGUAAAAGGGCUUUUUUUU
Small RNA from Lactococcus lactis, 162 nucleotides. It matches the Rfam family "MarS sRNA". From Rfam's summary of the family: In MarS deletion strains expression of mga and several Mga-activated genes is reduced. However, the lack of MarS increased bacterial dissemination and tolerance towards oxidative stress. The record is from Rfam. Lineage: Bacteria; Bacillati; Bacillota; Bacilli; Lactobacillales; Streptococcaceae.